UAGCUGAAUGGACGUUACCCACAUAAGAAGCACCGGCUAACUCCGUGCCAGCAGCCGCGGUAAUACGGAGGGUGCGAGCGUUAAUCGGAAUUACUGGGCGUAAAGGGUGCGUAGGUGGUUUGAUAAGUUAUCUGUGAAAUUCCUGGGCUUAACCUGGGACGGUCAGAUAAGACUGUUGGACUCGAGUAUGGGAGAGGGUAGUGGAAUUUCCGGUGUAGCGGUGAAAUGCGUAGAGAUCGGAAGGAACACCAGUGGCGAAGGCGGCUACCUGGCCUAAUACUGACACUGAGGCACGAAAGCGUGGGGAGCAAACAGGAUUAGAUACCCGG
Molecule: ribosomal RNA, 329 nt
Filed under: uncultured Legionella sp.
Lineage: Bacteria; Pseudomonadati; Pseudomonadota; Gammaproteobacteria; Legionellales; Legionellaceae
Description: bacterial SSU rRNA
Rfam family: Bacterial small subunit ribosomal RNA
Source: RNAcentral